This 301-nucleotide ribosomal RNA is filed under the name uncultured bacterium. RNAcentral's name for it is "partial 16S ribosomal RNA". It matches the Rfam family "Bacterial small subunit ribosomal RNA", at positions 509 to 809 of the family's 1533-position model. The record is from RNAcentral.
CAGCCGCCGCGGGAAUACGUAGGGGGCCAGCGUUGUCCGGAAUUGUUGGGCGUAAAGCGCGCGCAGGCGGAUUCUUAAGUCUGAUGUGAAAGCCCCCGGCUCAACCGGGGAGGGUCAUUGGAAACUGGGAAACUUGAGUGCAGAAGAGGAGAGUGGAAUUCCACGUGUAGCGGUGAAAUGCGUAGAGAUGUGGAGGAACACCAGUGGCGAAGGCGACUCUCUGGUCUGUAACUGACGCUGAGGAGCGAAAGCGUGGGGAGCGAACAGGAUUAGAGACCCGAGUAGUCCCUGUCUCUUAUAA